AGACGAGAAAGUUGGCCAUUCCUUUCAGGAACUGUGCCAAAAGGCUUUGUUUGCAUCCAGAGACAUUCCCCCCACAAAUACUGAUCUUUUGAGAUGCAGCUGCACCCCACUAACCACAGGUAGCUGCUUCUGAGUCUGUUUCUAAUACCACGUUUUCUAGGCUCAGAUUUACUUGGCCUUGCCCAGGAACAAGCUUUCCAUGACACUGGAUUCAUCACUCAGCUGCAACAUGUUUACCUUGCUGUCAGCAGAAGACUGUGAAGUAAGAUUACUUAGCUGUUAAAGAAGUAGACUGAAGACACUAAUGAAGAGGACUUUGCAAACCCACAGAUGGUAAGAGUGAUGCUUGCUUGAGAAAAAUAUGUUCUACCUGAACAAUACAAGGAAGCUAUAAAAGUCUGUGGAUCUGGACCCCAAGGCUUGGAAAAUCCUGUGCUCUAAUGUUGCAGUAUUAUGGAAACUCUCUAACCAUUCACCUUAGAAGGCACACAGAGGUUUCAGUGACCCC
Molecule: long non-coding RNA, 508 nt
Filed under: Dromaius novaehollandiae (emu)
Lineage: Eukaryota; Metazoa; Chordata; Aves; Casuariiformes; Dromaiidae
Description: lncRNA (ENSDNVG00000015337.1)
Source: RNAcentral